Molecule: ribosomal RNA, 376 nt
Filed under: uncultured bacterium
Lineage: Bacteria
Description: bacterial SSU rRNA
Rfam family: Bacterial small subunit ribosomal RNA
Source: RNAcentral
UACAGAGGUGCCGAGCGUUAGGCGGAAUCACUGGGCUUAAAGCGUGUGUAGGCGGACCGGUAAGUACCUUGUGAAAUCCCACGGCUCAACCGUGGAACUGCUGGGUAUACUGCCGGUCUUGAGCGACUUAGGGGCAGACGGAACAAGUGGUGGAGCGGUGAAAUGCGUAGAUAUCACUUGGAACGCCGACGGUGAAAACAGUCUGCUGGGAGUCCGCUGACGCUGAGACACGAAAGCCAGGGGAGCGAACGGGAUUAGAUACCCCGGUAGUCCUGGCCCUAAACGAUGUCGACUAGGUCGUGGCAGCUCUGACGUUGUCGCGGCCGAAGCUAAAGUGCUAAGUCGACCGCCUGGGAAGUACGGUCGCAAGGCUAAA